This 392-nucleotide unclassified non-coding RNA is filed under the name soil metagenome. RNAcentral's name for it is "partial contains 5.8S ribosomal RNA, internal transcribed spacer 2, and large subunit ribosomal RNA". The stretch from base 1 to 122 matches the Rfam family "5.8S ribosomal RNA", at positions 35 to 154 of the family's 154-position model. The record is from RNAcentral.
GAUGAAGAACGUAGCGAAAUGCUAUACUUGGUGUGAAUUGCAGAAUCCCGUGAACCAUCGAGUCUUUGAACGCAAGUUGCGCCCGAAGCCAUUAGGCCGAGGGCACGCCUGCCUGGGCGUCACACGUCGUUGCCCCCCCCAUCUACUCCUUCGGGAUUGCGGGGGGCGGAUGAUGGCCUCCCGUGCGCCUCGCCGCGCGGUUGGCAUAAAUGCCAAGUCCUCGGCGACGCACGCCACGACAAUCGGUGGUUGCGAAACCUCGGUUGCCCGUCGUGUGCGGUCGUCGCGCAUCGAGGGCUCGAAAAAAUUGCCGGGCUCCGGCUCGGCUUUCAACGCGACCCCAGGUCAGGCGGGGUUACCCGCUGAAUUUAAGCAUAUCAAUAAGCGGAGGA